CGGRUCAUAGUUUAGUGGUAAAA
RNAcentral lists this transfer RNA (23 nucleotides) under Urtica kioviensis. Its description in RNAcentral is "partial tRNA-Gly". Lineage: Eukaryota; Viridiplantae; Streptophyta; Magnoliopsida; Rosales; Urticaceae. The record is from RNAcentral.